This 473-nucleotide ribosomal RNA is filed under the name uncultured organism. Its description in RNAcentral is "partial 16S ribosomal RNA". It matches the Rfam family "Bacterial small subunit ribosomal RNA", at positions 334 to 798 of the family's 1533-position model. The record is from RNAcentral.
CACUCCUGCGGGAGGCAGCAGUGGGGAAUUUUGGACAAUGGGCGAAAGCCUGAUCCAGCAAUGCCGCGUGAGUGAAGAAGGCCUUCGGGUUGUAAAGCUCUUUUGUCAGGGAAGAAACGGUGAAAGCUAAUAUCUUUUGCUAAUGACGGUACCUGAAGAAUAAGCACCGGCUAACUACGUGCCAGCAGCCGCGGUAAUACGUAGGGUGCAAGCGUUAAUCGGAAUUACUGGGCGUAAAGCGUGCGCAGGCGGUUUUGUAAGUCUGAUGUGAAAUCCCCGGGCUCAACCUGGGAAUUGCAUUGGAGACUGCAAGGCUAGAAUCUGGCAGAGGGGGGUAGAAUUCCACGUGUAGCAGUGAAAUGCGUAGAUAUGUGGAGGAACACCGAUGGCGAAGGCAGCCCCCUGGGUCAAGAUUGACGCUCAUGCACGAAAGCGUGGGGAGCAAACAGGAUUAGAAACCCCGGUAGUCCCAU